RNAcentral lists this ribosomal RNA (1286 nucleotides) under Streptomyces paradoxus. RNAcentral describes it as "partial 23S ribosomal RNA". It matches the Rfam family "Bacterial large subunit ribosomal RNA", at positions 589 to 1763 of the family's 2925-position model. The record is from RNAcentral. Lineage: Bacteria; Bacillati; Actinomycetota; Actinomycetes; Kitasatosporales; Streptomycetaceae.
UCUCGUGACUGCGUGCCUUUUGAAGAAUGAGCCUGCGAGUUUGCGGUGUGUUGCGAGGUUAACCCGUGUGGGGAAGCCGUAGCGAAAGCGAGUCCGAAUAGGGCGAUGGAGUAGCACGCUCAAGACCCGAAGCGGAGUGAUCUAGCCAUGGGCAGGUUGAAGCGGAGGUAAGACUUCGUGGAGGACCGAACCCACCAGGGUUGAAAACCUGGGGGAUGACCUGUGGUUAGGGGUGAAAGGCCAAUCAAACUCCGUGAUAGCUGGUUCUCCCCGAAAUGCAUUUAGGUGCAGCGUCGUGUGUUUCUUGCCGGAGGUAGAGCACUGGAUAGGCGAUGGGCCCUACCGGGUUACUGACCUUAGCCAAACUCCGAAUGCCGGUAAGUGAGAGCGCGGCAGUGAGACUGUGGGGGAUAAGCUCCAUGGUCGAGAGGGAAACAGCCCAGAGCAUCGACUAAGGCCCCUAAGCGUACGCUAAGUGGGAAAGGAUGUGGAGUCGCAGAGACAACCAGGAGGUUGGCUUAGAAGCAGCCACCCUUGAAAGAGUGCGUAAUAGCUCACUGGUCUAGUGAUUCCGCGCCGACAAUGUAGCGGGGCUCAAGCGUACCGCCGAAGUCGUGUCAUUGCGAUAUAUACCCCCAACGGGGAUCGUGAUGGGUAGGGGAGCGUCGUGUGCCGGGUGAAGCAGCACCGGAAGGUAGUUGUGGACGGUUCACGAGUGAGAAUGCAGGCAUGAGUAGCGAUUCACACGUGAGAAACGUGUGCGCCGAUUGACUAAGGGUUCCUGGGUCAAGCUGAUCUGCCCAGGGUAAGUCGGGACCUAAGGCGAGGCCGACAGGCGUAGUCGAUGGAUAACCGGUUGAUAUUCCGGUACCCGCUGUGAAGCGUCAAACAUCGAGCAUCGUGAUGCUAAGGCCGUGAAGCCGCCCCGGAGCCUUCGGGCAAAGGGGAGUGGUGGAGCCGCCGAACCAAGCGGUUAGUAGGUGAGUGAUGGGGUGACGCAGGAAGGUAGUCCAUCCCGGGCGGUGGUUGUCCCGGGGUAAGGGUGUAGGCCGUGAUCCAGGCAAAUCCGGAUCACAUAAGGCUGAGACCUGAUGCCGAGCCGAUUGUGGUGAAGUGGAUGAUCCUAUGCUGUCGAGAAAAGCCUCUAGCGAGUUUCAUGGCGGCCCGUACCCUAAACCGACUCAGGUGGUCAGGUAGAGAAUACCGAGGCGUUCGGGUGAACUAUGGUUAAGGAACUCGGCAAAAUGCCCCCGUAACUUCGGGAGAAGGGGGGCCACACCUGGUGA